This 72-nucleotide transfer RNA is filed under the name Ovis aries (sheep). It matches the Rfam family "tRNA". Rfam says of the family: Transfer RNA (tRNA) molecules are approximately 80 nucleotides in length. Their secondary structure includes four short double-helical elements and three loops (D, anti-codon, and T loops). Lineage: Eukaryota; Metazoa; Chordata; Mammalia; Artiodactyla; Bovidae. The record is from Rfam by way of RNAcentral.
UCCCUAAUAGCUCAGUUGGUAAAGAAUCUGCCUGCAAUGCAGGAGACCUGGGUUUGAUUCCUGGGUUGGGAA